Molecule: long non-coding RNA, 260 nt
Organism: Silurus meridionalis
Lineage: Eukaryota; Metazoa; Chordata; Actinopteri; Siluriformes; Siluridae
Exons: 3
Source: RefSeq, a predicted model, not a curated record
GUUCGUGUUCAUUACAGCACUGAUUGUCGCUGAAGGCUCCUGGGGUUCUGUUAAAAAGAGAAACUCAUACAGUUAUGACCUGUCGAGUAGGUCUGACCUGACCAAGCUCUUUAACUCUAAAGUGUAUAAGGCUUAACGGAUGACACGACCACUUCAUGGCAAGAGAAAUGAGAGAGGAAUAUUUAGUCACUCAGGACUCAGAGUGACUCUGGAAGAUGGCACUAAGUGGUUGGUGCAUAAAGAAAAAGGUAAUGGUUUAU